UUGAUUUUGAUAAAACUAAAAAAAAAAAACGUAUAAUAUUAGAGGUUUUAGAGGUAUGGCUCAAAGGAAAAAGGUUAAAGCGUUGAUUCUUGCAAAGAAACCAGAUGUAGUGUCUGCAGGAAACUAAGAUAGAGUUAGUGGAUCAUUUUGUUUGUGAAUCAUUGUGGGGUUCCAAGGAGGUUGGUUUUUCAUUUCAGCCUUCAGUUAGAUAAUUUGGUGGUAUUCUUGCGAUGUGGGAUGCUAAUGUUUUUGAGACAGUUUUCUGUGAAUUUGAAUCAUGUUCUUAUGGUUUAUGGAAAAUGGAAGAAAGAUGGGGUGUGACUGUGUGAUAGAAGAGAGGAAAUGUUUUUGUGGGAACAAUAAUCAAUAAGGAUUUCCAAUCAAUUACAACUAAAA
This 396-nucleotide long non-coding RNA is filed under the name Cicer arietinum (chickpea). RNAcentral describes it as "long non-coding RNA (CARI_LNC001456)". The record is from RNAcentral. Lineage: Eukaryota; Viridiplantae; Streptophyta; Magnoliopsida; Fabales; Fabaceae.